Molecule: ribosomal RNA, 583 nt
Filed under: Lepidamia kalosoma
Lineage: Eukaryota; Metazoa; Chordata; Actinopteri; Kurtiformes; Apogonidae
Description: partial large subunit ribosomal RNA
Rfam family: Bacterial large subunit ribosomal RNA
Source: RNAcentral
UUGUUAUCACGCCUGCCCUGUGACUAUUGUUUAACGGCCGCGGUACUCUGACCGUGCGAAGGUAGCGCAAUCACUUGUCUUUUAAAUGAAGACCUGUAUGAAUGGCAUGACGAGGGCUAAGCUGUCUCCUUUUUCAAGUCAAUGAAAUUGAUCUCCCCGUGCAGAAGCGGGGAUACCUACAUAAGACGAGAAGACCCUAUGGAGCUUUAGACGUAAAGCAGGCCAUGUUAAGAAAACCCAAACAAGGGCCCGAACUUAGUGACUACUGCCCGAUUGUCUUUGGUUGGGGCGACCACGGAGCAAAAAGAAACCCCCGUGUGGAAGAGGGAUAACCCCCCUUAAACCCAGAGUGACAACUCUAACAAACAGAAUUUCUGACCAAUUCAUGAUCCGGCAAAGCCGAUCAACGAACCGAGUUACCCUAGGGAUAACAGCGCAAUCCUCUUCUAGAGCCCAUAUCGACAAGAGGGUUUACGACCUCGAUGUUGGAUCAGGACAUCCUAAUGGCGCAGCCGCUAUUAAGGGUUCGUUUGUUCAACGAUUAAAGUCCUACGUGAUCUGAGUUUCAGACCGGAAAAUUAAU